CUGAACCAGCCAAGUAGCGCGAAGGAUGAAGGUCCUACGGAUUGUAAACUUCUUUUAUACGGGAAUAAAGUAUCCUACGUGUAGGAUUUUGUAUGUACCGUAUGAAUAAGCAUCGGCUAACUCCGUGCCAGCAGCCGCGGUAAUACGGAGGAUGCGAGCGUUAUCCGGAUUUAUUGGGUUUAAAGGGAGCGCAGACGGGAGAUUAAGUCAGUUGUGAAAGUUUGCGG
RNAcentral lists this ribosomal RNA (227 nucleotides) under uncultured Bacteroides sp. RNAcentral's name for it is "partial 16S ribosomal RNA". It matches the Rfam family "Bacterial small subunit ribosomal RNA", at positions 383 to 607 of the family's 1533-position model. The record is from RNAcentral. Lineage: Bacteria; Pseudomonadati; Bacteroidota; Bacteroidia; Bacteroidales; Bacteroidaceae.